GGGAUCCCGCGUGGCGAGAUCGACGAUGACGUGGAGGAGGAAAGAAUGUUCAGGCGAGAGAAAAAAGGACACCGCGAUUGACAGCUAGAAAUUCAAGUUGAGAACCUACGACAAUCCGAAGAUACCUACGUUCGGAGCCCCGCUAGAGCAUGAGAAGCACAAUGGCCGCGAAGAUGUAGCCAUGCCAAUGUCCUCGUCGCUUCAUCGGCACGCAUAGCAUAAUCUAUUUAACGAAGAACCUAACGCAACCAUGCUGGUACAAAUCUCGACAAGAAAUACGGAAAAAGUAAGAAUAUGGAGAAAACAUGAAAAUGCAGCCUCUUUGAAUUAAAAUUAUUAUCGAGUGCUAACCUCGUAUUGGUGAAAACGGCACAGAUAUCAUUUCAGAUUUCAAUUUACCUAAAUUAUCUUGAAAUUAUUGGAAAAUUAUAUUAAUAUCGAUGAUAAUAGCCGAAGUUGCAGUUGUCUUAAAAUAAAUAUCCACUGCGUGAAUUAUUACACAAAAUAAAAAGCAAAGCGGUAGAACCCAAACAAGAGCGGAGAACAUCCAAGUGUUGGCCAAAGAUGCGUGCGGGAAUCGCAAAUUAAGGACGAGAGAAGGCACUCGCGGGUCAGAAGAUGUCCCGCUCUCGGUUCGCUCCGGUCCGCAUACCGGACGAACCGAGCAACGCCGCAGCCGCAGCCAUAGCCGCCUUCGUGCAAAAAAGUACAAAACUUGUGACCCGACUCGGAGCCCCCGGUCCUGCCGUUCGCCUCGGAACCGCCAUACUUUUUGCCGACACUCCGAGAGUACGAGAGAACGAACUGUGUCCGGCGCGAACGUCAGCAGAAUGUAAAAUAUGCAACAUACUCUCGUCCGUGUCUCGUGGUUUCCCGCCCGGUGAUUCCAGUAACCCUGUGCGAGAUAUAAGCAAUCCCUACAAUGGCAUUACAAUCUAGAAAUAUACGUUGUAUUGCAAGAUGGAAAAAGAAAUGAACUGAAGACGAUCGAGAAUACAAUGAUUCUCGGUAAUCGAGGAAGAUCCUGUUGCAUAGAGCACAGCGUUUCUUUUCGAUCGCAGCAACAAACGUCCUUUCCGCGAAAACCCGCAAGACGAAGGAUUUCUCAUCUGCACACGUCGCGUCAUCUGGUCUUUUUUAAAAUGUCUCGUUAGCGAGAAAAAUCGUUUUCCGGUGUGAGCGAAAGGAGCAUUAAAAAACAAAACAUUUUAUGUUCUUGGAAAAAAACACUGUUCUGUGAUAAGAAGCGCCAAGGAUAUGGAGAGUAACCGAAGGAGGAGCCUGAGGAGCAGGGAAAGCCAGCCAACCGAGAGGAAGGUCUUGGGGGAGCAACGACUAGUUUCUUCUCCAUGUUAUUAUCUGCCGUGUCCGGUAAGUGCCGCGUAUAAGAUAGCCGGGAUGUGGAAGACAUCAUGUCAAUCCCGGCCAUUCCGCUCACCGCCACUGUGACCACUUAGCUAUGCGGACAGGAAUACUUGUACUAACUCUACUAUUCCUAUACUAAUGAUUCCGAGAGGAAUUCCUCCGUUCUGUUUCGCGUUUCCUUGCGUCCAUAAUAAUGCUUACCUAGUUUGUCACACGGUCUAGGACCGCGGCAAUUCAAUUAUACGGAGCUUUUAACAUAUCGAAAAAACAGAGAGAGAGAGAGAGAGAGAGAGAGAGAGAGAGAUACAAGAAUUCUCUAUAUCAUUUAAUAGAGAAUUCUUGUAAGCCGUCCAUAAUACGUUAAGAUAUUAGCGCUGAUUGCAAAGUGUUAUACUGUACAAAAUAAAAUACUUAAAUUAUACAAAUCACGA
Molecule: long non-coding RNA, 1796 nt
Organism: Wasmannia auropunctata (little fire ant)
Lineage: Eukaryota; Metazoa; Arthropoda; Insecta; Hymenoptera; Formicidae
Exons: 6
Source: RefSeq, a predicted model, not a curated record